GGAUAUGAUAACAUUAUACAAAUAUAUUCAGGGCCAGUACAAGCCAUUAUCUGGAAAUCUAUUCAUAAACAGGGCUAUACACAGGACACGAGGUCACACAUGUGCUGGAAGAAAGGAGAUUUAAUCUAAAGCAAACAAAAGUUGUUUUUUUUUUAUAGUAAAAACGAUAAAGAUAUGGAAUUCUCUGCCUGAAGAGGUGGUUUUAUCAGAGUCCGUACAGAUGUUUAAACAGUAAUUGGAUAAAUACUUCCAAAAACAUAACAUACAGGGAUAUAAUUUCUAAUUAGUGGGCUAAUAAGCUGCUUGAUCCAAGGAAAUAUCGGACUGCCAUUUUGGGGUCAAGAAGGAAUUUUUUUCCUAGUUUGUUGUAAAAUUGGAAGCGCUUCAGACUGGGUUUUUUGCCUUCUUUUGGAUCAAAAGCAAAAACAUAAGAGGACG
Pelobates cultripes (western spadefoot toad) is the source of this 438-nucleotide non-coding RNA. The record is from the annotation of a GenBank genome assembly. NCBI's taxonomy places the organism in Eukaryota, Metazoa, Chordata, Amphibia, Anura, Pelobatidae.